UACGUAGGGUGCGAGCGUUGUCCGGAAUUACUGGGCGUAAAGAGCUCGUAGGUGGUUUGUCGCGUUGUUCGUGAAAACCGGGGGCUUAACCCUCGGCGUGCGGGCGAUACGGGCAGACUUGAGUACUGCAGGGGAGACUGGAAUUCCUGGUGUAGCGGUGAAAUGCGCAGAUAUCGAGGAGGAACACCGAGUGGCGAAGGCGGUCUCUGGC
RNAcentral lists this ribosomal RNA (211 nucleotides) under uncultured bacterium. RNAcentral describes it as "partial 16S ribosomal RNA". It matches the Rfam family "Bacterial small subunit ribosomal RNA", at positions 524 to 733 of the family's 1533-position model. The record is from RNAcentral.